UACGGAGGGAGCUAGCGUUGUUCGGAAUUACUGGGCGUAAAGCGCACGUAGGCGGUUAUUCAAGUCAGAGGUGAAAGCCCGGGGCUCAACCCCGGAACUGCCUUUGAAACUAGAUGACUGGAAUCUUGGAGAGGUCAGUGGAAUUCCGAGUGUAGAGGUGAAAUUCGUAGAUAUUCGGAAGAACACCAGUGGCGAAGGCGACUGACUGGACAAGUAUUGACGCUGAGACGCGAAAGCGUGGGUAGCAAACAGG
RNAcentral lists this ribosomal RNA (253 nucleotides) under uncultured bacterium. Its description in RNAcentral is "partial 16S ribosomal RNA". It matches the Rfam family "Bacterial small subunit ribosomal RNA", at positions 524 to 776 of the family's 1533-position model. The record is from RNAcentral.